Molecule: ribosomal RNA, 32 nt
Filed under: Saccharomyces cerevisiae (brewer's yeast)
Lineage: Eukaryota; Fungi; Ascomycota; Saccharomycetes; Saccharomycetales; Saccharomycetaceae
Description: partial 26S ribosomal RNA
Source: RNAcentral
UUGACCUCAAAUCAUGCCGUAGGACCCUGCCC